Molecule: ribosomal RNA, 214 nt
Filed under: uncultured fungus
Lineage: Eukaryota; Fungi
Description: partial small subunit ribosomal RNA
Rfam family: Eukaryotic small subunit ribosomal RNA (bases 94-214)
Source: RNAcentral
GACUCGGUUGAGCGGUUGGCCGCAAGGUCGGACUGCUCUGACUGAGUCUUUACUUCUGGAGAACCAGUAUGCCCUUUACUGGGUGUGCUGGCAAUCCAGGACUUUUACCUUGAAAAAAUUAGAGCGUUUAAAGCAGGCCUAUGCUUGAAUACAUUAGCAUGGAAUAAUAGAAUAGGACUUUGGUUCUAUUUUGUUGGUUUCUAGAAUCGAAGUA